RNAcentral lists this ribosomal RNA (254 nucleotides) under uncultured bacterium. Its description in RNAcentral is "partial 16S ribosomal RNA". It matches the Rfam family "Bacterial small subunit ribosomal RNA", at positions 524 to 776 of the family's 1533-position model. The record is from RNAcentral.
GACGAACCGUGCGAACGUUGUUCGGAAUCACUGGGCUUAAAGGGCGCGUAGGUGGUCUGUCUAGUCGGGGGUGAAAUCUUUCGGCUCAACCGGAAAACUGCCUUCGAUACUGGCAGGCUCGAGGGAGGUAGGGGUUGCGGGAACUACCAGUGGAGCGGUGAAAUGCGUUGAUAUUGGUAGGAACGCCGGUGGCGAAAGCGCGCAACUGGACCUCUUCUGACACUGAGUGCGCGAAAGCUAGGGGAGCAAACGGG